GGCAGAUCCUCUCAGCAGCCCGGCCCGGCUUGGGGCCCCAGCCCUGGGCGCCGCAGAGCUCGGGUCACCUGCAUUCUGGGCCGCGUGCUCAGCCAGGUGCGCAGGCAGCAGCCCGGGGCGCCACGUUGCACGUGGCAACAGGUGCCGCGCGGUGCUGGGCAGCCGCUGGCGUGGGGCGCGCCGGCACUUAGCCCGGGAGCGCGCGGGACCUCGGGAUCGGGCCCCGGGAGCGCGAGAGGAGGGAGCGAGCGGGCAGCCCAGCCCAGCCAGCCCACCUGCCGAGCGGAGCCGGGCGGAGCGCGCGGGAGCCUCGGGGGCCGGCGUCCCGAGGUACGGCCCGGCGCGUCGGUCAAGUUUCUCGGGGUGCAGCGCCCUGCGACGCCGCCUGUCCUUUGUCUCCCACGGUGACGGGGGGACAGAGGCGGCCGCGCUCUGCUAUUUACAAGUUUCCCGAACUCCCCGCCCUGGCUCCACCCCCGGCGGCCCGGGAGGCGGGGAGGCUGGGCUCCCGGACUCGGGGUUCCCGCCUGGCACAGCAGCCGCCGCCGGCGUGCGGGCGGGGGUGGGACGAGUGCCCAGGUGCAGGCGCUCCCCCGCGGGCACGGAUUGCACCGCGGCCUCCCGGGUGGGCCUGGCGCGCCGCCGCCGGGGGUCCCCAGGGCGCGCCGCCCUGCGUCUCGGCGCCCCGGAGGGCUGGGCUGGCCCGGUGGCGCUGCGGGCUCUUUGGAGGCUCCUUGAAGACAGGGACUGUCUUGUUCACCAUUGUGUCCCUAGCGGAGCAGCUGGCACAUGGUAGGCGAUUAAUGAAUGUUUGUUGAAUGAAUGCAAGCUCUUGUAGUAAAAGGUCACUUUAUAGUAGGGUAAGGAAACUGGCUGGGUGAUGCAUGAAGUAACUGACCCUCACUUAGCUUCUGUGGGACCAGUGCUGUUGUAUGGGUCCCUCUUUUUGCAGCUAAUUGGAGGCUCUGAAUAUAAGAAAAAUUACAUAAGGAUUAUUUCCUUCUUGAAAGUCUCUAAUAUUAAGAGAUUAAUAGUAAGGAAAUUGAUAAGAUUUGGGUUGGUAACUAAAAUGUCUUGUUUAUGUAAUAGCGGGGAAUAGAAUUUUUCUCAACUGUAAAUGUGGAUUAAGUUAAACCACAUUGCCAUCUUGCUUAGAAUAGCUACACUAGGAAGUUAGUAUCUAGGAAGAGAGAUGUUAUUUUAUUUAACUUCUGAUUAAAAUACUUUGUACAGAGGUUGAAAUCAUUUGGAGAAAGGUGUGAGUGGAUACUGGAAUUAUUCAUUUAAAAAAAUUGGACUAUUGAAUUCCUCAAUAAUUAAUUGGGUAAGCAUGAGCAGAACAUUUCUCUCCCAUUUUUAAGUAAAAAUCUUCAUUGCAUCCAUCUCUGCUUUUAAACUUGGAGCCAGCCUAUCAUGCCAUCAGGGCCCGUGGAUCCGUGAGAAUGGGAGCAGUGGUCCUGGCCUCAGGCAGUUUGAAAUUUGUUGGCCAUAACUGAACUGCAGAUUACCAUUAAGGAUGGAAUCAGCAUGCUAUUGAAUUGUUUGUUGAGAAUUUAUUGCUGAGGGUAAUUAUUUAGAGAUUUCCGUCUUGGUUGACUUGCAUGUACCAAUGAUUUUAUUUUAUUUUACUUUUUUUUGAGGAAGAUUAACCCUGAGCUAACUACUGGCAAUCCUUCUCUUUUUGCUGAGGAAGACUGGCCCUGGGCUAACAUCCGCGCCCAUCUUCCUCUAUUUUAUACGUGGGAUGCCUACCGCAGCAUGGCUUUUGCCAAGCGGUGCCAUGUCCGCACCCGGGAUCCGAACUGGUGAACCCCGGUCUGCCACCGAGAAGCGGAACGUGCAAACUUAACUGCUGUGCCACCGGGCUGGCCCCCGUACCAAUGAUUUUAAAGACUGUCACAGUCAGGCCUUGGGAGCCAGACUCAGGGAUCAUUUUAAUGGAGCCAAAGACUUUGUAUUAAAUACUUAGCCUUAGAAAUAUAAAGCUAAACAAAGCCCAUUUUGUGAAUUUCCAAAUUGUCUAGCACAACAGCAUGCAUAUUGAAUGUCUUGAAUGUCUUUUUUAAAAAAAAUUAUACCAUCGAUUCCUCCAAGUCUAUUGAGGACAGAUUCUAAGAUCCCAUUGGCUCCCUCUUCCUACACUCCCAUCUAAGAAAUACAAAAAGUAGCCAAUUUCAGAGCAAUGAGAUUUUCUUCUGUUUAUGAGGGUAAUGGAGAGGAUUUGACUGGAUUUCUUGCUUCCUGAGGUCCAUGUUGUAUUCCUUUGUUCUCCUGGCAUACUCCCAGGUUUAGCCAUCCUGGAACUCCAGAGUGAUGAUGGGGAGGGGACCUGACAGGUGGAGGUGUACUCACCUUCAGGGCCAGAGACUCCCAUUAAGCAGAUGCUAACUACCGAAGCCAGUACCAGUGAGUGAAUCUUCUUUAUUCCUUGGAACUGUAGCUCUGAGUCAAACCAGCUUGUCUUCUCAAAUACUAGAGCC
This 2480-nucleotide long non-coding RNA is filed under the name Equus asinus (donkey). Its description in RNAcentral is "lncRNA (ENSEASG00005029492.1)". Lineage: Eukaryota; Metazoa; Chordata; Mammalia; Perissodactyla; Equidae. The record is from RNAcentral.